CUCUCUCUGUAGACCAAGCUGACCUUGAACUCUGAGAUCCAGCUUUCCAUUGUAAUCCCCUGUGGUGGGCUGGGCUUUUUGGUGGUACAGGUGCCUUUAAGUCCCUGUCGCUGUAAGUAACUCCUUGCCCCGAGCUCCUAUGAGUGACUCCAAUAAACUCACUGGCGCACUAAACUGGACUUGGGCGGUACCAUUCCUUUGGUCUGUUGUCUGUCUCUUAACUGGACGUGAGCAGACGAGAUGUUUGCUCUCAGACUAGAUGUUUGUUCUCAUUUUUCAGGAAUCAUGUCAAACACACGUACACACACACCACCACCACCACCACCACGGCCGCCACCACCUGUAGACUGAAGGCCCAGAAGCUCAAGGCCACCCUUGACUACAGAGAGUUAGAGGGCAAAACAACAGCAACCACACAAAAAGAAGGCUGGAGAGCUAACUCAGUUGCGCAGCACUUGCUUAGCGUGUACAAGCUCUAGGUUUGAUCCUCAGCAUUGGGGACUGGUUCUAAGUGGAUCCGCAGUCUUACUUGAGAGGGCCAGGCAAAUAUCACGACCCGUCCCUAAUAACUCAGUUAAGAACUAGGACUCAGUUCCUGCACCUACUAGGCCUGGGCCAAACCCCUCCUCCACCCACAGGUAAUAACCAAAUAAGGACAAAACCUGGGACUUGUCCACGCCUGUCCCCAAAUGGAACAGUCAGCGAUAGCCCUAAUCAACCCCUCACCAGCUCUAGCCAAUUGGAAUGUACUAAUAUGAUUGCCACUUGCUUAAGCCAAUCUUAUCAAAUGACCUAGCCACCCUAAGAACUCCCCUUAGCUGCGCUUAAAAGGAGCGCGCAUGUCCCUCUCAAAGUCCUUGCCAUUUUGUACAGGUGAGUGACCCCACAUGCACGUGGUAUAAUAAAUGUUUUGGGACUUCUCACGGACCCUAACAUUACUCUUGAUUUUAGGCAAAAUGCUAAGGAACCAAUCGAAUCCAGAUUUGUGUGGAAAGAAAGAGAAAGCUGGAAAGUGGUAGUCUUACCGGGAUGGUGACAGCCGUCUACGGAAGGAACCACAAAUGCCUACCACUAGCUUGACCGCUCACGUUGGCCUGGAGGCCACAGCAAUGUAAGCAUGUGCUCAGCUGAACGCUUACCAUAUGGACAUAGUCUAGAAAAUGGGUCAACCAGAAGCACCCGAGAAACUGACCUGUGUUGCGGGAGAUUUGUUGAACCAGGCAAAGUUGUGUUAACAUUUGUCCAGGCUGCAUUGGUUAACUAUGUAAAGAUGUGUUGCAUUUAACCCGGGCUCAGAGAGGCGGGGUUAGCAACUGGUUGACCGGAAGCAGCAAGGAGGAGCCUAGUGUGUUUUUUUUUUUUUGUUGUUGUUGUUGUUAGUUGGGAAGGUGUGGAAGCGAGUGGUUUCCAGAAAGCCCGCAAAGAGAGAAAGGUAGCAGUUGUCCUUCUAAUUCCCUGAUCUCGCAGGUUCUCGCUCCAGCCUGUGAAUCUUGAGCUGUAUUAGAACGGUCGAGAUUCAGUUACAACUGCCUUGACCGGCAGCAACAGAGCCGCUGUCCGGAGGAACAGAAUUCUUCUUAGUGGCUGGGCUGCUCGUAGUUUAAAGGGCAGCCACUGUGACGGAGGCUGAAGCCCCGGCUCCAUUAUGUUGGCUCCUCCACACCCAACCCCAAGCUGCACAUUUCAGAGAGAAAUCACUGUAAUUAUUUAUUCUCUUGAAAAGGAGCAGGAGGCUUGGGUAGAGAGCCACCAGCCAAUGCCAUCACCAAAUCACUAGAAGGCAGUCUCCUGGCAACCAGCCAGAGUGGAAUGGAGUCAGUUGGUACUACAAUUAUCACUGCUAUAUCUGGAUGGAUCUAAGGCCGGAAAUUUUGGACAAAAGCACAUGAAAUGCUGAGGCAGGAGGACCAAGAGUCUGAGAUCAAUCUGGACUAUGUAGCAAAACCUGGUCACAAGAACUAAAAUGAAAACAAGCCCCUUCCACUCCGGCCAACUCAUUUAAUCAUCAAGGCAGCUCACAGAAGAGGGGACAGGGACUUUGGCACCCACAUCUACCCCCAUCUGAAGCUACUUAGCGUCCCUGGUAUUUAAGGAGGGAGCCUGAAUUCAUUCAGCAUUUCUGUUGAGUCUACAAUCUUUUUGACUGACAAGCACAAGCAAGCAAACUUGAAAAUCGCCCUGGCAACGAAGCCAGAAUAAUCAGGUCAUCUUUGGGGUUAACUUACUUAUUUAGACACGGUCUCCUAAAGCCCAGACUGGCCUAGAAUUCUCUAUGCAGGUAAGCCUGACCUUUAAUUCCUGAGCCUCCUUUCUCUACCUCCCAAGCACUGGUAUGACAGGCAUGGACGGCCAUACUUGGCUUCAGGCCAUGAAUGUGAAUGAAUGCUAACUUUCAAACUGCAGAAGUCACUCAGCUUCUCUGGGUCUCCAGUGUGGUUUUAAAAUGGACUAGAAUACAGGGCCAAUUUUUUUUUUCAUUGCUUGGAAUACAUUUGAAGAGCAGAGGUUGAGGCUCAGACCUGCUUAUUGUAAAUUGUGGUCUGGCU
Long non-coding RNA from Peromyscus maniculatus bairdii (prairie deer mouse), 2546 nucleotides. RefSeq lists it as uncharacterized. The record is from RefSeq and is a predicted model, not a curated record. Lineage: Eukaryota; Metazoa; Chordata; Mammalia; Rodentia; Cricetidae.